CCGGCGACCGGCGCACGGGUGAGUAACGCGUAUGCAACUUACCUAUCAGAGGGGGAUAACCCGGCGAAAGUCGGACUAAUACCGCAUGAAGCAGGGGCCCCGCAUGGGGAUAUUUGCUAAAGAUUCAUCGCUGAUAGAGAGGCAUGCGUUCCAUUAGGCAGUUGGCGGGGUAACGGCCCACCAAACCGACGAUGGAUAGGGGUUCUGAGAGGAAGGUCCCCCACAUUGGUACUGAGACACGGACCAAACUCCUACGGAAGGCAGCAG
RNAcentral lists this ribosomal RNA (267 nucleotides) under uncultured bacterium. RNAcentral's name for it is "partial 16S ribosomal RNA". It matches the Rfam family "Bacterial small subunit ribosomal RNA", at positions 88 to 354 of the family's 1533-position model. The record is from RNAcentral.